Molecule: ribosomal RNA, 166 nt
Filed under: Vasconcellea candicans
Lineage: Eukaryota; Viridiplantae; Streptophyta; Magnoliopsida; Brassicales; Caricaceae
Also listed under: 1 other name
Description: 5.8S ribosomal RNA
Rfam family: 5.8S ribosomal RNA
About the family: 5.8S ribosomal RNA (5.8S rRNA) is a component of the large subunit of the eukaryotic ribosome.
Source: RNAcentral
AUAACGACUCUCGGCAACGGAUAUCUCGGCUCUCGCAUCGAUGAAGAACGUAGCGAAAUGCGAUACUUGGUGUGAAUUGCAGAAUCCCGCGAAUCAUCGAGUCUUUGAACGCAAGUUGCGCCCUAGGCCAUCCGGCUGAGGGCACGUCUGCCUGGGUGUCACGCAC